Molecule: ribosomal RNA, 851 nt
Filed under: uncultured bacterium
Lineage: Bacteria
Description: bacterial SSU rRNA
Rfam family: Bacterial small subunit ribosomal RNA
Source: RNAcentral
UACGCGUGGGACCUUCCCAAUGGUACGGAAUAGCCCAGGGAAACUUGGAGUAAUACCGUAUACGCCCGAAAGGGGAAAGAUUCAUCGCCAUUGGAUGGGCCCGCGUAGGAUUAGCUAGUUGGUGAGGUAAUGGCUCACCAAGGCGACGAUCCUUAGCUGGUCUGAGAGGACGACCAGCCACACUGGGACUGAGACACGGCCCAGACUCCUACGGGAGGCAGCAGUGGGGAAUAUUGGACAAUGGGCGAAAGCCUGAUCCAGCCAUGCCGCGUGAGUGAUGAAGGCCUUAGGGUUGUAAUGCUCUUUUAGCGGGGAAGAUAAUGACGGUACCCGCAGAAUAAGCCCCGGCUAACUUCGUGCCAGCAGCCGCGGUAAUACGAAGGGGGCUAGCGUUGUUCGGAAUUACUGGGCGUAAAGCGCACGUAGGCGGAUUGACAAGUCAGGGGUGAAAUCCCGGGGCUCAACCUCGGAACUGCCUUUGAUACUGUCAGUCUAGAGUCCGGAAGAGGUGGGUGGAAUUCCUAGUGUAGAGGUGAAAUUCGCAGAUAUUAGGAAGAACACCGGUGGCGAAGGCGGCCCACUGGUCCGGUACUGACGCUGAGGUGCGAAAGCGUGGGGAGCAAACAGGGUUAGAUACCCUGGUAGUCCACGCCGUAAACGAUGGAUGCUAGCCGUCGGCAAGCUUGCUUGUCGGUGGCGCAGCUAACGCAUUAAGCAUCCCGCCUGGGGAGUACGGCCGCAAGGUUAAAACUCAAAGGAAUUGACGGGGGCCCGCACAAGCGGUGGAGCAUGUGGUUUAAUUCGACGCAACGCGAAGAACCUUACCAAGCCUUGACAUGUCCGGACCGAUC